Non-coding RNA from Triticum aestivum (bread wheat), 136 nucleotides. The record is from Rfam. Lineage: Eukaryota; Viridiplantae; Streptophyta; Magnoliopsida; Poales; Poaceae.
AUUCUACUCCCCCCGUUGCACAAUACAUGCCUUCUAUUUGUCAAAAUAUAUAUGUAUCUAGACAUGUUUUAGUAUAUAGGUACAUCAAUUUUUGGAAAAAUGGAAGUCAAGUAUUUUGGAACGAAGGGAGUACACA